UGCUUGUAGCUGCCGCCAAAUGAUGGGUUUAGCACUGGUGUGGUUGCUGCUGGGGACUGAACCAAGAAAUGCAGUGAACACAACUGGCUCUCCCCUCGUCCCUCUCUCCUCCUGGAGCCUGAUUUCUCCCCCUGGCCAUGGGGUGGAGCAGGGAGAAUGGAAGAGGAGGAUUUAGGGGAAACUCCACCAAAUGCACACUGAGCUAAAAUUAGGAGAAACCUUGGGGUAGUCUAGGACUGGAAUCACUCCCUUUUCUUUCCCUCUUUCUCUUAAGGUGUUGUGAGAGGGGGUCCUCGCUCCCUCCUGGAAAGAGGGACAAAAGGGGAAGAGAAAGGAAAAAUUAUAUUCUGUAGUGAAAGAAAAACGUUCAGGAGGGAUGGUCUGGCUGUGGACACCUCUGAUCGCCCCAUCCUCUUCCCCGUCCUGGAGAUUUCGGAUGCAGGAGGAAAACAGCUUGCUGGCAGCUGAGCUGAGCGUUUCGUGCGAGUGCAUGGAUGUAGGCAGCAAGCUGUAGAGGGCUGUCUCCACACGCCAACGGAGCCACGAGCUGCGCUCAGCAACCCUGGCCUCGGGCCCAGGAAUUCAGCAGGUGUUGCUUGGACACGUCAUCUCAACUGCUUCUGGGGACAGUGACAGCUGGCAGCACGUGCUAUAGAUCCAGACCUGAGAUCCUAUGUAGUGAGGGAAUCCCUGGCACAGCCGUACCAUGGGACACGGGGAAGCCACUGAUGCUCACAGCAAUGUCCCAUCCUUGUCCUUUGUGCUUUUGGGUCCUUUGUGUUUUUGGGAUCCAGUGCCACCUGAGCUUGCAGGUUGAUUGCAACCCAGCCACCCUGCACUGUCUGAUAAAAGAACCCUUGGGGAGUCAGGAGAGGAGCUGCCAGGGGCCCGUAAUUGUAUUUCAGGGGCAUUUGGAAACCUGGAAGGAGAGGAAAGGCAAUGGGAAGACACUGUUGAGGCAGGACUGGUAAAGCACAGGAGAGGGAGAGUAAGACCUCGCUGUAGGAUCAGAUCCAGCCUUCAUCCUGCAUGCAAACACCCCCUCCAAAAAAAGAAACCACCUUCACCAACCCAAACCCAGUAAAAAUGUCCUGUUUCCAGAGGGUUUUCUGUGCACUGAGGUCCCACCAGCCUCUGCCUGGUCAUAUGUGAGCAUCCCCUGCAUUAGGGAUAACUGAAUGUGCAGCAACAAUGGACCUUAUUAAAUAAAUGUGGGUUAUGAAACUCCUUGGUGGUCUGGGGUAGGGCACAACAGACAUUUCCUUUGGUUCUUAAAAGCUGAGAUCCGGCAAGGGGUAAUUGUGUUUGAUGUUUCGUACUUUCAUGAGGAGCUCACAAAGCUGGUCCUAACUGGGGAGCCUGGGAGGAUGCAUCUUGGCUGACUCUCUGCCUUCUCAAACGAGCCUCACAAGGCUUCGAUUGCCUCUUUCUUGGCUGAGCUGUCUCUCUCAUCUCCUUGGAUGCAUCUUUGCUGCCCUUGGCACUCCUCUUCCACCUCUUCACGUGGACUUGGCUCAGUUCUUGACUCUAUGACCUCCUCUUCAUGUCUUUUAGCUAGCUGCUGAACCUUCCUCCUCUUCUUCCUCUCAUCUCGUGCCACCAUCCUCCUUUCUCCACGACUUGGACCCCACCACCCCUGGCUAUGAUCAGUGACGUGGAGCCCAUCACUGCAGAGAUGCUCAGGAAACCUGCUGCAAAUUCGUGGCAGGCAUGUACGUGAAGUGAUGAAUUAUUUAAACUACAUCAGAUCGCAGCCUGGAUGGUCCCAUUUGGAGUCAAAACCCCCUUCAU
Molecule: non-coding RNA, 1791 nt
Organism: Anas platyrhynchos (mallard)
Lineage: Eukaryota; Metazoa; Chordata; Aves; Anseriformes; Anatidae
Source: RefSeq, a predicted model, not a curated record